RNAcentral lists this ribosomal RNA (253 nucleotides) under uncultured bacterium. RNAcentral's name for it is "partial 16S ribosomal RNA". It matches the Rfam family "Bacterial small subunit ribosomal RNA", at positions 524 to 776 of the family's 1533-position model. The record is from RNAcentral.
UACAGAGGGUGCAAGCGUUAAUCGGAAUUACUGGGCGUAAAGCGUGCGUAGACGGUCAUGUAAGUCGGGUGUGAAAGCCCCGGGCUCAACCUGGGAAUUGCAUCCGAGACUGCAUUGCUAGAGUAUGGGAGAGGGAAGCGGAAUUUCUGGUGUAGCAGUGAAAUGCGUAGAUAUCAGAAGGAACAUCAGUGGCGAAGGCGGCUUCCUGGACCAAUACUGACGAUCAGGUGCGAAAGCGUGGGGAGCAAACAGG